UCCUUUUAAUAUCAAAGUAUUAAUAAUUAGAAGUAGCAUAAAGAGUCUUCAUAAUAUUUCUUUUAUUACUAUAUUUAAUGUGCUACAAAUAAAGCAUAAUAUGAAUGUGUAAUCUAAAGUUAUAUAUUUUAAAACCAUAAUACAGAUUAUUCGUCAAGUUGAUAAAACUCUUAAGGUACAUAUCGAUAUUUGAUCAUUGAUUGAAUUGUUUUGAACUGAAUGUUUCACCUAGGAUGAUUCAACUAAUUGAGUUAAUAGCUGUUGGCAGUGAAUCUGUUUCAGGUUCAUAAUACUACUAGCAUAAUAGCACCUUUAAUG
This 318-nucleotide long non-coding RNA is filed under the name Nicotiana benthamiana. Its description in RNAcentral is "long non-coding RNA (NBEN_LNC023978)". Lineage: Eukaryota; Viridiplantae; Streptophyta; Magnoliopsida; Solanales; Solanaceae. The record is from RNAcentral.